RNAcentral lists this long non-coding RNA (518 nucleotides) under Marmota monax (woodchuck). Lineage: Eukaryota; Metazoa; Chordata; Mammalia; Rodentia; Sciuridae. The record is from RNAcentral.
UAGUGAUCUAAGUGCUCCACCUGCCUUUCAGUUUGUUUACCAGGAAAUCAAGAUGUGUAAACUGCAGGAAGUACUAUUUGACCCUCUCCGACAGUAUCUCAUUACAAUAAUUGCUAAUCUCUGAAUAAGACAGCCAUGUUUUGUGAGUAACUGAGAGAGAGGUUGUGUUAGGUAGAUUUUAGGUGUUCCAAGAAAUAGAGCAUUCUAAAUGCUUGCUUGGAUUAUGUUUUCAUUAUAGCUUUUGAUAAAAGACAUAUGGUGACCUUUGGGGUCAGCAAAUCUAGGACACAAUAGCAGGUAUUCUUUCAUGCCUUUUAACUGAAAGAAUAUCACGGCUUGUUGUUUUGGAGUGCUGUCACUGCUCUGAAUCGAAAGGAUAAUGGCUACUUCCUGAUUAAACCCACUCUCCACAGUAAGCUGCUAAUGUUAUACUGUCUUUUUCUCCUGUGAAUGCAAGAGUAUUUGAUGUUUGCUUUACUUUUUAUCAUUGUCUUUUCAUUGAUAGGUCUCUUACAAAU